This 542-nucleotide ribosomal RNA is filed under the name uncultured bacterium. RNAcentral describes it as "bacterial SSU rRNA". It matches the Rfam family "Bacterial small subunit ribosomal RNA", at positions 356 to 896 of the family's 1533-position model. The record is from RNAcentral.
GGGGAAUACUGCACAAUGGGCGAAAGCCUGAUGCAGCGACGCCGCGUGAGGGAUGGAGGCCUUCGGGUUGUAAACCUCUUUCGCUCAUGGUCAAGCCGCAACUGUGGGUUGUGGUGAGGGUAGUGGGUAAAGAAGCGCCGGCUAACUACGUGCCAGCAGCCGCGGUAAUACGUAGGGCGCGAGCGUUGUCCGGAAUUAUUGGGCGUAAAGGGCUUGUAGGCGGUUGGUCGCGUCUGCCGUGAAAUCCUCUGGCUUAACUGGGGGCGUGCGGUGGGUACGGGCUGACUUGAGUGCGGUAGGGGAGACUGGAACUCCUGGUGUAGCGGUGGAAUGCGCAGAUAUCAGGAAGAACACCGGUGGCGAAGGCGGGUCUCUGGGCCGUUACUGACGCUGAGGAGCGAAAGCGUGGGGAGCGAACAGGAUUAGAUACCCUGGUAGUCCACGCUGUAAACGUUGGGCACUAGGUGUGGGGGCCACCCGUGGUUUCUGCGCCGUAGCUAACGCUUUAAGUGCCCCGCCUGGGGAGUACGGCCGCAAGGCUA